This 342-nucleotide ribosomal RNA is filed under the name uncultured Leptolinea sp. Its description in RNAcentral is "bacterial SSU rRNA". It matches the Rfam family "Bacterial small subunit ribosomal RNA", at positions 1027 to 1382 of the family's 1533-position model. Lineage: Bacteria; Bacillati; Chloroflexota; Anaerolineae; Anaerolineales; Anaerolineaceae. The record is from RNAcentral.
AGCUUGCACAGGUGCUGCAUGGCUGUCGUCAGCUCGUGUCGUGAGAUGUUCGGUUAAGUCCGCUAACGAGCGCAACCCUCGCUGUGUGUUACAGGUGUCUACACGGUACUGCCGGUCUUAAGCCGGAGGAAGUGGGGAUGACGUCAAGUCAGCAUGGCCUUUAUGUCCUGGGCUACACACACGCUACAAUGGCCAACACAAUAGGUUGCUAAGCCGCGAGGUGGAGCCAAUCCUCAAAAGUUGGUCUCAGUUCAGAUUGCAGGCUGCAACCCGCCUGCAUGAAGAUGGAGUUGCUAGUAACCGCAGGUCAGCUAUACUGCGGUGAAUACGUUCCCGGGGCUU